Molecule: long non-coding RNA, 247 nt
Filed under: Helianthus annuus (common sunflower)
Lineage: Eukaryota; Viridiplantae; Streptophyta; Magnoliopsida; Asterales; Asteraceae
Description: sRNA HanXRQr2_Chr10g0452641
Source: RNAcentral
AUGUUUCGGAAAGGAUACCGGAACGUCAAGUGGGCAAGCUGGUGGUGAUUUGCGGUUGAAGGGUUUGCUCUAAAGGAAAGGAUACCGGAACGUCAAGUGGGCAAGCUGGUGGUGAUUUGCGGUUGAAGGGUUUGCUCUAAAGGUGAUGAGGUGGAUCGUAUGGAUGACGGUCAAGCAACGUAGAAGAACCGAACACGACUUUUGAAGCUUCCGCAAUGUUUUAAUCUUACUUAGACUUUGUUCAUGG